Molecule: ribosomal RNA, 740 nt
Filed under: Lactiplantibacillus plantarum
Lineage: Bacteria; Bacillati; Bacillota; Bacilli; Lactobacillales; Lactobacillaceae
Description: bacterial SSU rRNA
Rfam family: Bacterial small subunit ribosomal RNA
Source: RNAcentral
AUGCAGUCGAACGAACUCUGGUAUUGAUUGGUGCUUGCAUCAUGAUUUACAUUUGAGUGAGUGGCGAACUGGUGAGUAACACGUGGGAAACCUGCCCAGAAGCGGGGGAUAACACCUGGAAACAGAUGCUAAUACCGCAUAACAACUUGGACCGCAUGGUCCGAGUUUGAAAGAUGGCUUCGGCUAUCACUUUUGGAUGGUCCCGCGGCGUAUUAGCUAGAUGGUGGGGUAACGGCUCACCAUGGCAAUGAUACGUAGCCGACCUGAGAGGGUAAUCGGCCACAUUGGGACUGAGACACGGCCCAAACUCCUACGGGAGGCAGCAGUAGGGAAUCUUCCACAAUGGACGAAAGUCUGAUGGAGCAACGCCGCGUGAGUGAAGAAGGGUUUCGGCUCGUAAAACUCUGUUGUUAAAGAAGAACAUAUCUGAGAGUAACUGUUCAGGUAUUGACGGUAUUUAACCAGAAAGCCACGGCUAACUACGUGCCAGCAGCCGCGGUAAUACGUAGGUGGCAAGCGUUGUCCGGAUUUAUUGGGCGUAAAGCGAGCGCAGGCGGUUUUUUAAGUCUGAUGUGAAAGCCUUCGGCUCAACCGAAGAAGUGCAUCGGAAACUGGGAGACUUGAGUGCAGAAGAGGACAGUGGAACUCCAUGUGUAGCGGUGAAAUGCGUAGAUAUAUGGAAGAACACCAGUGGCGAAGGCGGCUGUCUGGUCUGUAACUGACGCUGAGGCUCGAAAGUA